GUGCUGUGGAAAGGUGUUGGAAGAAGCAUUUUUGUCUCAGAAUAUGGAGAAAGAGAGUAUCAGGACUGGCCUCCUAAAUUUGGCACAGAGAUUGCAACUCUAAGACAGCCAUUUUGCAGCCUACGUCUUCUUCUCUUUCUGCUUGCAUCAAAUUAAUCAGAUACAAGUUAGAGAAAGCUUCCAAAAUCUGAACAGAUGAAGAUCAAUUGAUAAAUCAACCCAGCGAUUCACCG
This 233-nucleotide long non-coding RNA is filed under the name Anser brachyrhynchus (Pink-footed goose). RNAcentral's name for it is "lncRNA (ENSABRG00000002764.1)". Lineage: Eukaryota; Metazoa; Chordata; Aves; Anseriformes; Anatidae. The record is from RNAcentral.